This is a long non-coding RNA of Leguminivora glycinivorella, 1263 nucleotides long. RefSeq lists it as uncharacterized. The record is from RefSeq and is a predicted model, not a curated record. Lineage: Eukaryota; Metazoa; Arthropoda; Insecta; Lepidoptera; Tortricidae. The transcript has 2 exons.
UGGCUUCUGUAUUUGAUGAUGUGCAAGCUUCACUGUGGCAGGCACAUGUAAAAAACACGGCUCAGUAUAAUUUACGACGUAAACCUGCUGAUUUUAAUAUCGGAGACAUAGUUUUAAAACGAACUUAUAUUUUAAGCGAUAAAGACAAAUAUUUUAGCAAAAAAUUAGCGCCUAAAUUCAUUAAGUGUCGUAUAAUCGAAAAAAGUCUCCUCUUGUUUAUGUCUUAGAGGACAUGAAUGGGAAGAAUUUAGGGGUAUGGCAUAUUAAGGAUAUCAAGUUGGCCAGCCACCUUAGAUAAGCACAAGCCCUGUAGUUAAGACCUUGCUAUCGGUAUAAGUCAUAUGUGCAAUAUAUCACAGAUGCCUUUUGUAUGAAAGGACGCGUUGUCAGCUUUGAAAAGUUGUAUUUGCUUUUAUGAUAAGAUAAAAUGUGAAAGGUUAUUGUGUAAGAUGAUCGAAUGAAAGCGUAAUACUGAUUGCAACCUAAUCGGGUUUUCUUUUAGAAUAAAACCCUUUUCCUGGAGAGGGGGGUAUAUGUAACGUAAUACGUUACAUUCUUAAAAAAUAAACAUUUAAAACUACUAAAUUACCUAACUAAAAAUACUACACUACUAAUAAACUAUAUUACAUAUUAAAAUAUACAACAAUAAUGUCUUAAAACUACGUAUUUACAAGUAUAAAAUCAUCAUCACGCUGAUUGAUUUAAAUAUGUCGCGCCGCGGUAAACAUUCACUCCCAAUAAUGUUCACAUUCGCGAGUGCAUGAAUGAAUGCACGGGUCGAGGCGCUGUGUCAUUGCGCCCAUCACUCACUCGUCCAUUUUAUCUUUGGAGUUGAGUGGAACGCACGUCGUUAAUUAUCGAUCUCUGCUACGGAUCAGAUACCUAUCGAAAUUCGUAAUCGAAUUUAACUGCGUCCCUACGUGUUCCUCAACUUGUUAAAUUACUGUGGUGUUUUAAUUAUGCUUAAUAGUGUACCCCGAAUUGGGGUCCCAAGUCCAGAGUGACUUCUUUUGGCUUCCUGCUUGCCGCCCGCCUGCCGUAUUGCUUCUAGCCGCUUUCCCCGACUCAGCGCCACGCAGAUUCUAGCAGCGCUGAACUCAGCGCCGAUCAGAAAAACGGCGCCUACCACCUCGGCAUCGUCAGGGGAGUACUGUGGCUACAAUCGACUAGCGGAAUCCGAUCUUGACUAGUAUUUUUUACGAACCUCGACUUUUACCCAUCUUACCGGCUGAGCUUCAUGGGAAUAAAUAUUGUUUUACCGUU